AUUGAACGCUGGCGGCAGGCCUAACACAUGCAAGUCGAGCGGUAGCACAAGGGAGCUUGCUCUCUGGGUGACGAGCGGCGGACGGGUGAGUAAUGUCUGGGAAACUGCCUGAUGGAGGGGGAUAACUACUGGAAACGGUAGCUAAUACCGCAUAACGUCGCAAGACCAAAGUGGGGGACCUUCGGGCCUCACGCCAUCGGAUGUGCCCAGAUGGGAUUAG
This 220-nucleotide ribosomal RNA is filed under the name uncultured bacterium. Its description in RNAcentral is "partial 16S ribosomal RNA". It matches the Rfam family "Bacterial small subunit ribosomal RNA", at positions 30 to 244 of the family's 1533-position model. The record is from RNAcentral.